This 71-nucleotide transfer RNA is filed under the name Cynoglossus zanzibarensis (Zanzibar tonguesole). RNAcentral describes it as "tRNA-Thr". It matches the Rfam family "tRNA". Rfam says of the family: Transfer RNA (tRNA) molecules are approximately 80 nucleotides in length. Their secondary structure includes four short double-helical elements and three loops (D, anti-codon, and T loops). Lineage: Eukaryota; Metazoa; Chordata; Actinopteri; Pleuronectiformes; Cynoglossidae. The record is from RNAcentral.
GCAUUAGUAGCUCAGCACAGAGCAUUGGUCUUGUAAGCCAAAGGCCGGAGACUUAAACCCUCCCUACUGCU